GACGAACGCUUGCGGCGUGCUUAACACAUGCAAGUCGAACGGAAAGGCCCUGCUUUUGUGGGGUGCUCGAGUGGCGAACGGGUGAGUAACACGUGAGUAACCUGCCCUUGACUUUGGGAUAACUUCAGGAAACUGGGGCUAAUACCGGAUAGGAGCUCCUGCUGCAUGGUGGGGGUUGGAAAGUUUCGGCGGUUGGGGAUGGACUCGCGGCUUAUCAGCUUGUUGGUGGGGUAGUGGCUUACCAAGGCUUUGACGGGUAGCCGGCCUGAGAGGGUGACCGGCCACAUUGGGACUGAGAUACGGCCCAGACUCCUAUGGGAGGCAGCAGUGGGGAAUAUUGCACAAUGGGCGGAAGCCUGAUGCAGCAACGCCGCGUGCGGGAUGACGGCCUUCGGGUUGUAAACCGCUUUCGCCUGUGACGAAGCGUGAGUGACGGUAAUGGGUAAAGAAGCACCGGCUAACUACGUGCCAGCAGCCGCGGUGAUACGUAGGGUGCGAGCGUUGUCCGGAUUUAUUGGGCGUAAAGGGCUCGUAGGUGGUUGAUCGCGUCGGAAGUGUAAUCUUGGGGCUUAACCCUGAGCGUGCUUUCGAUACGGGCUGACUUGAGGAAGGUAGGGGAGAAUGGAAUUCCUGGUGGAGCGGUGGAAUGCGCAGAUAUCAGGAGGAACACCAGUGGCGAAGGCGGUUCUCUGGGCCUUUCCUGACGCUGAGGAGCGAAAGCGUGGGGAGCGAACAGGCUUAGAUACCCUGGUAGUCCACGCUGUAAACGGUGGGUACUAGGUGUGGGGUCCAUUCCACGGGUUCCGUGCCGUAGCUAACGCUUUAAGUACCCCGCCUGGGGAGUACGGCCGCAAGGCUAAAACCCAAAGGAAUUGACGGGGCCCCGCACAAGCGGCGGAGCAUGCGGAUUAAUUCGAUGCAACGCGUAGAACCUUACCUGGGUUUGACAUGGAUCGGGAGUGCUCAGAGAUGGGUGUGCCUCUUUUGGGGUCGGUUCACAGGUGGUGCAUGCCUGUCGUCAGCUCGUGUCGUGAGAUGUUGGGUUAAGUCCCGCAACGAGCGCAACCCUUGUUCACUGUUGCCAGCACGUUAUGGUGGGGACUCAGUGGAGACCGCCGGGGUCAACUCGGAGGAAGGUGGGGAUGACGUCAAGUCCUCAUGCCCCUUAUGUCCAGGGCUUCACGCAUGCUACAAUGGCUGGUACAGAGAGUGGCGAGCCUGUGAGGGUGAGCGAAUCUCGGAAAGCCGGUCUCAGUUCGGAUUGGGGUCUGCAACUCGACCUCAUGAAGUCGGAGUCGCUAGUAAUCGCAAAUCAGCAACGCUGCGGUGAAUACGUUCCCGGGGC
RNAcentral lists this ribosomal RNA (1345 nucleotides) under uncultured bacterium. RNAcentral describes it as "bacterial SSU rRNA". It matches the Rfam family "Bacterial small subunit ribosomal RNA", at positions 28 to 1380 of the family's 1533-position model. The record is from RNAcentral.